RNAcentral lists this ribosomal RNA (508 nucleotides) under uncultured bacterium. RNAcentral's name for it is "partial 16S ribosomal RNA". It matches the Rfam family "Bacterial small subunit ribosomal RNA", at positions 28 to 523 of the family's 1533-position model. The record is from RNAcentral.
GAUGAACGCUAGCUACAGGCUUAACACAUGCAAGUCGAGGGGAAACGACAUCGAAAGCUUGCUUUUGAUGGGCGUCGACCGGCGCACGGGUGAGUAACGCGUAUCCAACCUGCCCACCACUUGGGGAUAACCUUGCGAAAGUAAGACUAAUACCCAAUGAUAUCUCUAGAAGACAUCUGAAAGAGAUUAAAGAUUUAUCGGUGAUGGAUGGGGAUGCGUCUGAUUAGCUUGUUGGCGGGGUAACGGCCCACCAAGGCCACGAUCAGUAGGGGUUCUGAGAGGAAGGCCCCCAACAUUGGAACUGAGACACGGUCCAAACUCCUACGGGAGGAAGCAGUGAGGAAUAUUGGUCAAUGGGCGAGGGCCUGAACCAGCCAAGUAGCGUGCAGGAUGACGGCCCUAUGGGUUGUAAACUGCUUUUAUAAGGGAAUAAAGUGAGCCUCGUGAGGCUUUUUGCAUGUACCUUAUGAAUAAGGACCGGCUAAUUCCGUGCCAGCAGCCGCCGUAA